RNAcentral lists this ribosomal RNA (443 nucleotides) under uncultured Clostridium sp. RNAcentral describes it as "bacterial SSU rRNA". It matches the Rfam family "Bacterial small subunit ribosomal RNA", at positions 338 to 795 of the family's 1533-position model. Lineage: Bacteria; Bacillati; Bacillota; Clostridia; Eubacteriales; Clostridiaceae. The record is from RNAcentral.
CCUACGGGAGGCAGCAGUGGGGAAUAUUGCACAAUGGGCGAAAGCCUGAUGCAGCAACGCCGCGUGAAGGAAGAAGGGUUUCGGCUCGUAAACUUCUAUCAACAGGGACGAAAAAAAUGACGGUACCUGAAUAAGAAGCCCCGGCUAACUACGUGCCAGCAGCCGCGGUAAUACGUAGGGGGCAAGCGUUAUCCGGAAUUACUGGGUGUAAAGGGAGAGUAGGCGGCAUGGUAAGUUAGAUGUGAAAGCCCGAGGCUUAACCUCGGGAUUGCAUUUAAAACUAUCAAGCUAGAGUACAGGAGAGGUAAGUGGAAUUCCUAGUGUAGCGGUGAAAUGCGUAGAUAUUAGGAAGAACACCAGUGGCGAAGGCGACUUACUGGACUGAAACUGACGCUGAGGCUCGAAAGCGUGGGGAGCGAACAGGAUUAGAUACCCUUGUAGUC